Long non-coding RNA from Gossypium raimondii (Peruvian cotton), 2037 nucleotides. RefSeq lists it as uncharacterized. NCBI's taxonomy places the organism in Eukaryota, Viridiplantae, Streptophyta, Magnoliopsida, Malvales, Malvaceae. The record is from RefSeq and is a predicted model, not a curated record. The transcript is spliced from 8 exons.
GUAAGGCUUUAUUAAAGCAUAGUUUUGGGGUGUAUUUGCAAAAUAUCAAUUGUUGUUAAGCCAUUUUUUCAGACCUCUGUUUCAAUAAAAAAUUGCAGAGCAAGUUGGUGAAGCGGAGAUACUCGGUUGAGGAAGUCACAACACUCUCACUCGCACUCUCAUUCCCAUUCUCACUUCCAGCCAGAAAGUUAGAAACCUUGUGCCCUAGUUGUCAUGGCUUAUUUGGAAAAUGGCACCGGAACUACCUAGACCAAGUCUCUACCCAAGGAUACCAAGAAGAAAGAUGUUAACAAGGAGGAGGAUCUAAUGAGUCCCCGUUUCGAGUUUAUGCUUUAGUUAUCUUUAUCCAUUUGUAUUUAUUUUGUUUUAUAACUUAGGUGGUUUUUGUUUUCUUAGCAUGCACAAUCGGAAGAAGACUUGGUUUUGAAGCAACAGUUGGAGUUAUACGUAGAGAGAAUUUAUGAUGUUGAUCCUGAAGUCCAGAAAGUAGCUCUUGAAAGCAUGAGGCAAGAAGUCCGCACCUCAAUCAACUCCAUGACUUAUGUUCCAAAGCUAUUGAAGUUUCUCCGACCCCAUUACGGAACCCUAAAGGCAUUUUAUGAGACUAUGCUUGAUUCAGAUUUGAAGGAGAGUUUAAAGUACAGAUUGUUGGGUUCAGAAGGCGACAUUUGUUCAUGGGGCCAUGGAUAUGUGAGGUGAGCAUUUAUUUGGUCUGAUAAGUUAUUAUAUUUUACUCCUUUGCUACUGGAAAACUUGUAUAAUAAGUGCUUCAUUCGCUAUUGCUGGCUGAACUUGUUUAGAUCAUGAUAAUAGUUUACGUUUAUCUGUCUUGCUAAUCCAACUUUCAUUUCUUAGAAUUCAUAUCCAAAGUAUGACUUAUGUGAAUAUUUUCCUUCUCAUAUUGAUGGAUAACCUAGCAGAGACCUUUUUGGCCUUGCUUGUUAAUUUAUUUGUUGUCAGGAUCUUAGCAGGAGAAAUUUUGUAAGAGUAUCUAAUGCGACAGAUUGAAGAUGCCCCAGUUGACGAUCUAAUGGAGCUUGUGGAACAAAUUGUUGCUUUUCACAUGAAGGAUUAGCUAUAUUAUCAUAUCAACAAGAAAUUGAUGUAUCGCAGAAGAAAUUUUUUUUUCCAAUACUUGCCAUGCUUUCCAAUUUCUAACAUAUUUGUACGUUCUGUACAACACACUGCUGAAUCUGAAACCGUUGAUCUCUUGAUGGAGGUUGACGAUCUUGACCCUUUAACUGAUCAUGUUGAUAUUACAAAAUUCAGGAACACUUGUCUAUAUCUCACCAGUGCUGCGAGGGAAUUAAUUUUGAACUUGAUGAUGAUAUCGUUGAGGAUAAUGAAGAUAGAGAACAAUCACAGGAUAUCAUCAACAAUGUUAAAUUAAGUAAAGGUUAACUCACCCUUGCUCGUGAUAUUUAGGUUAUGGAGCCUAAAUGUCUAGAAGACGUCUAUAAGGUCUGGACUUCAACACUCAGUUAAGAUUUAUUUACAUUGACUUUGUCCGUGUUGGCUAUUUUUUGGCUUCAUCAAAUUGAUGACUGGCAUAUACGGUUUGUUAGACUCAUUUGCUUGAUGGUCAUGCUAUUGCUAGUGCAAAUGUUGAUUCAGCUAGAAAUUUGGCUGGUACAUUUGUCAAUGCUUUUGUUAAUGCGGGUUUUGGCAAGGAUAGGUUAAUGACAGGCCCGGCUGACUCUUUAGGUGAUGGUUCAUCUGGAAAUUGGCUUUUCAAAAACAAAGAACAUGCGAAGAUCAAUGUUGUAGCAAGUUUGGUGCGUUUAUUGAAAUACAAAAUUUGCAUCCAUAUAGGCAUGUAUCAACUGUUACUCAGUUUCCUGUUAGGAAUUCAGUUAAAAUAUUAAGAUUUCCAAAUAACAGGGCAUGGUUUUAUUGUGGGAUGUCGACUCUGGGCUUGCUCAGAUUGACAAGUAUUUACAUAUCGAUGAUAAAUACGUGAUUGCUGGAGCAUUAUUAGGAGCUAGGCUUGUCAACUGUAUUGUUACUAAUGAUUAUAAUCCUGUGAGUUUCUUUCUA